Molecule: ribosomal RNA, 656 nt
Filed under: Pyrenochaetopsis cylindrospora
Lineage: Eukaryota; Fungi; Ascomycota; Dothideomycetes; Pleosporales; Pyrenochaetopsidaceae
Description: partial large subunit ribosomal RNA
Rfam family: Eukaryotic large subunit ribosomal RNA
Source: RNAcentral
CCCCUUCGACGAGUCGAGUUGUUUGGGAAUGCAGCUCUAAAUGGGAGGUAAAUUUCUUCUAAAGCUAAAUACUGGCCAGAGACCGAUAGCGCACAAGUAGAGUGAUCGAAAGAUGAAAAGCACUUUGGAAAGAGAGUCAAACAGCACGUGAAAUUGUUGAAAGGGAAGCGCUUGCAGCCAGACUUGCUUGUAGUUGCUCAUCCGGGCUUUUGCCCGGUGCACUCUUCUGCGAGCAGGCCAGCAUCAGUUUGGGCGGUUGGAUAAAGGCCUCUGUCACGUACCUUCUCUCGGGAAGGCCUUAUAGGGGAGGCGUCAUGCAACCAGCCUGGACUGAGGUCCGCGCAUCUGCUAGGAUGCUGGCGUAAUGGCUGUAAGCGGCCCGUCUUGAAACACGGACCAAGGAGUCUAACAUCUAUGCGAGUGUUUGGGUGUCAAGCCCGAGCGCGCAAUGAAAGUGAACGGAGGUGGGAUCCCGCAAGGGUGCACCAUCGACCGAUCCUGAAGUCUUCGGAUGGAUUUGAGUAAGAGCAUGGCUGUUGGGACCCGAAAGAUGGUGAACUAUGCUUGAAUAGGGUGAAGCCAGAGGAAACUCUGGUGGAGGCUCGCAGCGGUUCUGACGUGCAAAUCGAUCGUCAAAUUUGGGCAUAGGGGCGAAA